This is a small nuclear RNA of Ictidomys tridecemlineatus (thirteen-lined ground squirrel), 108 nucleotides long. NCBI's taxonomy places the organism in Eukaryota, Metazoa, Chordata, Mammalia, Rodentia, Sciuridae. The record is from Ensembl.
GUGUUUGCUCCUGCAGCACAUAUACUAAAAAAACUAGAACAAUAUAAGAGGUUAACAUGGCCCCUGCCCAAGAAUGAUACACAAAUUUGUGAAGCAUUCCAUGUUUUU